UGUUUCGGCUAGGGGGUCAUCCCGACUUACCAACCCGAUGCAAACUGCGAAUACCGAAGAAUGUUAUCACGGGAGACACACGGCGGGUGCUAACGUCCGUCGUGAAGAGGGAAACAACCCAGACCGCCAGCUAAGGUCCCAAAGUCAUGGUUAAGUGGGAAACGAUGUGGGAAGGCACAGACAGCCAGGAUGUUGGCUUAGAAGCAGCCAUCAUUUAAAGAAAGCGUAAUAGCUCACUGGUCGAGUCGGCCUGCGCGGAAGAUGUAACGGGGCUAAACCAUGCACCGAAGCUGCGGCAGCGACACUAUGUGUUGUUGGGUAGGGGAGCGUUCUGUAAGCCGUUGAAGGUGUAUCGUGAGGUAUGCUGGAGGUAUCAGAAGUGCGAAUGCUGACAUAAGUAACGAUAAUGCGGGUGAAAAACCCGCACGCCGGAAGACCAAGGGUUCCUGUCCAACGUUAAUCGGGGCAGGGUGAGUCGACCCCUAAGGCGAGGCCGAAAGGCGUAGUCGAUGGGAAACAGGUUAAUAUUCCUGUACUUGGUGUUACUGCGAAGGGGGGACGGAGAAGGCUAUGUUAGCCGGGCGACGGUUGUCCCGGUUUAAGCAUGUAGGCGGAGGUUCCAGGUAAAUCCGGUACCUUUUUAACGCUGAGGUGUGAUGACGAGGCACUACGGUGCUGAAGUAACAAAUGCCCUGCUUCCAGGAAAAGCCUCUAAGCAUCAGGUAACACGAAAUCGUACCCCAAACCGACACAGGUGGUCAGGUAGAGAAUACCAAGGCGCUUGAGAGAACUCGGGUGAAGGAACUAGGCAAAAUGGUGCCGUAACUUCGGGAGAAGGCACGCUGAUAUGUAGGUGAAGUGAUUUACUCAUGGAGCUGAAAUCAGUCGAAGAUACCAGCUGGCUGCAACUGUUUAUUAAAAACACAGCACUGUGCAAACACGAAAGUGGACGUAUACGGUGUGACGCCUGCCCGGUGCCGGAAGGUUAAUUGAUGGGGUUAUCCGUAAGGAGAAGCUCUUGAUCGAAGCCCCGGUAAACGGCGGCCGUAACUAUAACGGUCCUAAGGUAGCGAAAUUCCUUGUCGGGUAAGUUCCGACCUGCACGAAUGGCGUAAUGAUGGCCAGGCUGUCUCCACCCGAGACUCAGUGAAAUUGAACUCGCUGUGAAGAUGCAGUGUACCCGCGGCAAGACGGAAAGACCCCGUGAACCUUUACUAUAGCUUGACACUGAACACUGGUCCUUGAUGUGUAGGAUAGGUGGGAGGCUUUGAAGU
Molecule: ribosomal RNA, 1274 nt
Filed under: Citrobacter freundii
Lineage: Bacteria; Pseudomonadati; Pseudomonadota; Gammaproteobacteria; Enterobacterales; Enterobacteriaceae
Description: partial 23S ribosomal RNA
Rfam family: Bacterial large subunit ribosomal RNA
Source: RNAcentral